ACCUGGCUGGCUCAGUCAGUAGAGCAUGUGACUCUUGAUCUUGGGGUUGUGAGUUUGAGCCCCAUGUUGGGUG
This 73-nucleotide transfer RNA is filed under the name Ailuropoda melanoleuca (giant panda). It matches the Rfam family "tRNA". From Rfam's summary of the family: Transfer RNA (tRNA) molecules are approximately 80 nucleotides in length. Their secondary structure includes four short double-helical elements and three loops (D, anti-codon, and T loops). The record is from Rfam by way of RNAcentral. Lineage: Eukaryota; Metazoa; Chordata; Mammalia; Carnivora; Ursidae. RNAcentral also lists the same sequence under 1 other name.